AGAGCGAACGCUUGCGGCGGGCUUAACACAUGCAAGUCGAACGCGUACCUUCGGGUACGAGUGGCGGACGGGUGAGUAACACGUAGGUUACCUGCCCUUCGGUGGGGGAUAACUGGGGGAAACUCCAGCUAAUACCGCAUUCGGUCUACGGAUCAAAGCAGCAAUGCGCCGGAGGAUGGGCCUGCGUCCGAUUAUUUAAUCCUAGUUGGCGGGGUAACGGCCCACCAAGGGUACGAUCGGUAGCUGGUCUGAGAGGACGAUCAGCCACACUGGAACUGAGACACGGUCCAGACUCCUACGGGAGGCAGCAGUGGGGAAUAUUGCGCAAUGGGCGAAAGCCUGACGCAGCCACGCCGCGUGUGUGAUGAAGGCCUUCGGGUUGUAAAGCACUGUCGAGGGGGAAGAAGCAAUGACGGUACCCCUCAAGAAAGCGCCGGCUAACCCUGUGCCAGCAGCCGC
RNAcentral lists this ribosomal RNA (459 nucleotides) under uncultured soil bacterium. RNAcentral's name for it is "bacterial SSU rRNA". It matches the Rfam family "Bacterial small subunit ribosomal RNA", at positions 26 to 518 of the family's 1533-position model. The record is from RNAcentral.